GUUAUAUGGUCAAGUGAAGAAGCGCAUACGGUGGAUGCCUUGGCAGUCAGAGGCGAUGAAAGACGUGGUAGCCUGCGAAAAGCUUCGGGGAGUCGGCAAACAGACUUUGAUCCGGAGAUCUCUGAAUGGGGGAACCCACCUAGGAUAACCUAGGUAUCUUGUACUGAAUCCAUAGGUGCAAGAGGCGAACCAGGGGAACUGAAACAUCUAAGUACCCUGAGGAAAAGAAAUCAACCGAGAUUCCCUUAGUAGUGGCGAGCGAACGGGGAUUAGCCCUUAAGCUUCAUUGAUUUUAGCGGAACGCUCUGGAAAGUGCGGCCAUAGUGGGUGAUAGCCACGUACGCGAAAGGAUCUUUGAAGUGAAAUCGAGUAGGACGGAGCACGAGAAACUUUGUCUGAACAUGGGGGGACCAUCCUCCAAGGCUAAAUACUACUGACUGACCGAUAGUGAACCAGUACCGUGAGGGAAAGGCGAAAAGAACCCCGGAGAGGGGAGUGAAAUAGAACCUGAAACCGUAUGCGUACAAGCAGUGGGAGCCUACUUGUUAGGUGACUGCGUACCUUUUGUAUAAUGGGUCAGCGACUUAUAUUCAGUGGCAAGCUUAACCGUAUAGGGUAGGCGUAGCGAAAGCGAGUCUUAAUAGGGCGUUUAGUCGCUGGGUAUAGACCCGAAACCGGGCGAUCUAUCCAUGAGCAGGUUGAAGGUUAGGUAACACUGACUGGAGGACCGAACCCACUCCCGUUGAAAAGGUAGGGGAUGACUUGUGGAUCGGAGUGAAAAGGCUAAUCAAGCUCGGAGAUAGCUGGUUCUCCUCGAAAGCUAUUUAGGUAGCGCCUCAUGUAUCACUCUGGGGGGUAGAGCACUGUUUCGGCUAGGGGGUCAUCCCGACUUACCAAACCGAUGCAAACUCCGAAUACCCAGAAGUGCCGAGCAUGGGAGACACACGGCGGGUGCUAACGUCCGUCGUGAAAAGGGAAACAACCCAGACCGCCAGCUAAGGUCCCAAAGUUGUGGUUAAGUGGUAAACGAUGUGGGAAGGCUUAGACAGCUAGGAGGUUGGCUUAGAAGCAGCCAUCCUUUAAAGAAAGCGUAAUAGCUCACUAGUCGAGUCGGCCUGCGCGGAAGAUGUAACGGGGCUCAAACCACACACCGAAGCUGCGGGUGUCACGUAAGUGACGCGGUAGAGGAGCGUUCUGUAAGCCUGUGAAGGUGAGUUGAGAAGCUUGCUGGAGGUAUCAGAAGUGCGAAUGCUGACAUGAGUAACGACAAUGGGUGUGAAAAACACCCACGCCGAAAGACCAAGGGUUCCUGCGCAACGUUAAUCGACGCAGGGUUAGUCGGUUCCUAAGGCGAGGCUGAAAAGCGUAGUCGAUGGGAAACAGGUUAAUAUUCCUGUACUUCUGGUUACUGCGAUGGAGGGACGGAGAAGGCUAGGCCAGCUUGGCGUUGGUUGUCCAAGUUUAAGGUGGUAGGCUGAAAUCUUAGGUAAAUCCGGGGUUUCAAGGCCGAGAGCUGAUGACGAGUCGUCUUUUAGAUGACGAAGUGGUUGAUGCCAUGCUUCCAAGAAAAGCUUCUAAGCUUCAGGUAACCAGGAACCGUACCCCAAACCGACACAGGUGGUCGGGUAGAGAAUACCAAGGCGCUUGAGAGAACUCGGGUGAAGGAACUAGGCAAAAUGGCACCGUAACUUCGGGAGAAGGUGCGCCGGCUAGGGUGAAGGAUUUACUCCGUAAGCUCUGGCUGGUCGAAGAUACCAGGCCGCUGCGACUGUUUAUUAAAAACACAGCACUCUGCAAACACGAAAGUGGACGUAUAGGGUGUGACGCCUGCCCGGUGCCGGAAGGUUAAUUGAUGGGGUUAGCGCAAGCGAAGCUCUUGAUCGAAGCCCCGGUAAACGGCGGCCGUAACUAUAACGGUCCUAAGGUAGCGAAAUUCCUUGUCGGGUAAGUUCCGACCUGCACGAAUGGCGUAACGAUGGCGGCGCUGUCUCCACCCGAGACUCAGUGAAAUUGAAAUCGCUGUGAAGAUGCAGUGUAUCCGCGGCUAGACGGAAAGACCCCGUGAACCUUUACUGUAGCUUUGCACUGGACUUUGAGCCUGCUUGUGUAGGAUAGGUGGGAGGCUUUGAAGCGUGGACGCCAGUUCGCGUGGAGCCAUCCUUGAAAUACCACCCUGGCAUGCUUGAGGUUCUAACUCUGGUCCGUGAUCCGGAUCGAGGACAGUGUAUGGUGGGCAGUUUGACUGGGGCGGUCUCCUCCUAAAGAGUAACGGAGGAGUACGAAGGUGCGCUCAGACCGGUCGGAAAUCGGUCGCAGAGUAUAAAGGCAAAAGCGCGCUUGACUGCGAGACAGACACGUCGAGCAGGUACGAAAGUAGGUCUUAGUGAUCCGGUGGUUCUGUAUGGAAGGGCCAUCGCUCAACGGAUAAAAGGUACUCCGGGGAUAACAGGCUGAUACCGCCCAAGAGUUCAUAUCGACGGCGGUGUUUGGCACCUCGAUGUCGGCUCAUCACAUCCUGGGGCUGAAGCCGGUCCCAAGGGUAUGGCUGUUCGCCAUUUAAAGUGGUACGCGAGCUGGGUUUAGAACGUCGUGAGACAGUUCGGUCCCUAUCUGCCGUGGACGUUUGAGAUUUGAGAGGGGCUGCUCCUAGUACGAGAGGACCGGAGUGGACGAACCUCUGGUGUUCCGGUUGUCACGCCAGUGGCAUUGCCGGGUAGCUAUGUUCGGAAAAGAUAACCGCUGAAAGCAUCUAAGCGGGAAACUUGCCUCAAGAUGAGAUCUCACUGGGAACUUGAUUCCCCUGAAGGGCCGUCGAAGACUACGACGUUGAUAGGCUGGGUGUGUAAGCGUUGUGAGGCGUUGAGCUAACCAGUACUAAUUGCCCGUGAGGCUUGACCAUAUAACACCCAAACA
This 2913-nucleotide ribosomal RNA is filed under the name Pseudomonas aeruginosa. Its description in RNAcentral is "bacterial LSU rRNA". It matches the Rfam family "Bacterial large subunit ribosomal RNA". The record is from RNAcentral. Lineage: Bacteria; Pseudomonadati; Pseudomonadota; Gammaproteobacteria; Pseudomonadales; Pseudomonadaceae.